Molecule: unclassified non-coding RNA, 355 nt
Filed under: Zea mays
Lineage: Eukaryota; Viridiplantae; Streptophyta; Magnoliopsida; Poales; Poaceae
Description: misc RNA Zm00001eb151880
Source: RNAcentral
CCACCGGCCGCCAUGCUCGAGCACGCGCCCGCCGCCGCCGAGCGCAGCCAGCGUGCUCGAACACCUGGCAUUGGCGACCAGCUCCCCCGCGCAAGUGGAGCACUCGCCCUCCCCGCCGCACCUCCGCGGGACGGAAGAUGCCAGCCCCCUCCUUCGAAGCACCGACCUCGCGCACGGCAGCAUCGUGGAGGUGCACUAUGUGCGAUCCGGCUGUCGACGGCGGGAGAGGGGAACCCUAGAUUCGGGCCGCGGCUCGGGGCGGUGCUGGCGUCGCAGGAGAAGGUCCUGAAGCCUGGAAGGAGGGCCGGAGGGAUUGGCAGAGGCACGAGGAAUUGGAGCUCUUGGUUUGCGGUGG